GAUCAUGGCUCAGGAUGAACGCUAGCGGCAGGCUUAAUACAUGCAAGUCGUGGGGCAGCAGGUUUGUAGCAAUACAGAUGCUGGCGACCGGCAAACGGGUGCGGAACACGUACAGAACCUUCCUUUGAGCGGGGAAUAGCCCAGAGAAAUUUGGAUUAAUACCCCAUAGUAUAAUGAAGUGGCAUCACUUUAUUAUUAAAGAUUUAUCACUCGAAGAUGGCUGUGCGGCUGAUUAGGUAGUUGGCGGGGUAAAGGCCCACCAAGCCUGCGAUCAGUAACUGGUGUGAGAGCACGACCAGUCACACGGGCACUGAGACACGGGCCCGACUCCUACGGGAGGCAGCAGUAAGGAAUAUUGGUCAAUGGAGGCAACUCUGAACCAGCCAUGCCGCGUGGAGGAUAGAAGGUCCUCUGGAUUGUAAACUUCUUUUAUAUGGGACGAAAAAAGGCUUUUCUAAGUCGUCUGACGGUACCAUAUGAAUAAGCACCGGCUAACUCCGUG
Molecule: ribosomal RNA, 502 nt
Filed under: uncultured bacterium
Lineage: Bacteria
Description: bacterial SSU rRNA
Rfam family: Bacterial small subunit ribosomal RNA
Source: RNAcentral